ACCGUGUGUGCUGCUGACACAAUACUAGUGGGUACACGCUCCCCCAACCGCACUGACGCACCUGUCGCUUGCCGCGCACACAGGUGUCGUGCCUGGCUGCUUGUAUGUUGCAGGAGAUAGAGGAGAGGAGCACGCGAUUUUGCUAAAUCCAAAUAGUGGCGGGAAGAUCAUCUUCAAGAUGAGGACUGCGUUGCUUUGUUUUGCUUUGGGGGUGAUGCUGCGAAGAACUGAGGCGAAGGAUUGUGCGUGUACUGGGAAGUCCAUGUGUCACUGUGAAGGAGUCAAAGGCAACAAGGGAGAAAGGGGUUGUGCAGGAGAGACGGGUCCACCUGGGUCGGUUGGGCAUCCAGGCUCAGAGGGUCACCUUGGACCUGUGGGGCCAAAGGUCAGGUGUCUGUUAUCAUUCUUUACUGUCCUUUCCUAGGAAGUGUAGAACUUGCCCUUGAACACAUAUCUAGGAUCAGAUUCCCCCACUCCUUAACCAUUAGGGGGGGAUGAACAACUGUCUGACCCUGUUUCAGUGGUUUCUAACAUCUCCCCUGUAUCAUACCAUGUAGCAAAACCAAUUUAACCCACGGAUGUUGUUCUGACUGAAUUGUACAUUUUAGCCGAUACUUUUUCCUUCAUUGCUACUACUGUGAAUGACCUAGUCACAUCUGGAACUGCUACUUCUACAGUCACCAAUAGUUACUACUACUGCACCUUCUUUCUGUUACGGAACCCAAUAAUUAGCCUACAGAUAAUGUUGCACUCACUUUGUCUAGGGGUCUUAGGCCUAGUUAACUGGUCAGUAACCUCAUUUAAGAUGUGCAUCUAUGUGAGAAAUCAGUGUAUGUGCCCAGGGAGAUAAUACAGUAUAUGUACAAAAAGGAAAAAUAUAAAAGGAAUGCCCCAAACUAAAGACAAAAACAAACGAAAGGCCUCAUGGCCACCAAAACAAACCAAGCAGCCUUACAGCUUACCAGCUGCUACUCUGACUGACCAUCACCUUCAUUGGCAGCACCUGAUGUGCUUAUCAACAAGGCUCAGCAUUUGGACAAGGUUGCUGCUGCCCCCUGGGGGAUGGAGUGUGGAAGUGUAUCCUGUCAAUAUGUUUGCCUAGCUGUGCGCUAACACGACACAGCCCACUACAUAACACUAUCAUGAAAAAUACUUUGAUUACAAGCAAGCACACCAUUUUUCUUCAGGAAAUUACAUUUUUCUAGUUUGAAUUACUAACUAUCACAACAUGCUCCUGACCCUCCUGAUGUAUUUAAAGUUUAAAUGGCGACUCUACUGUAAUUACAAUAGGCUACAUCAACAUUAGUUUCCAUUC
Molecule: long non-coding RNA, 1315 nt
Filed under: Oncorhynchus kisutch (coho salmon)
Lineage: Eukaryota; Metazoa; Chordata; Actinopteri; Salmoniformes; Salmonidae
Description: lncRNA (ENSOKIG00005036252.1)
Source: RNAcentral